AUUGAACGCUGGCGGCAUGCUUUACACAUGCAAGUCGAACGGCAGCGCGGGCUUCGGCCUGGCGGCGAGUGGCGAACGGGUGAGUAAUGCAUCGGAACGUGCCCAGCAGUGGGGGAUAGCCCGGCGAAAGCCGGAUUAAUACCGCAUACGACCUGAGGGUGAAAGCGGGGGACCGAAAGGCCUCGCGCUAGUGGAGCGGCCGACGUCGGAUUAGCUAGUUGGUGGGGUAAAGGCUUACCAAGGCGACGAUCGGUAGCUGGUCUGAGAGGACGACCAGCCACACUGGGACUUGGACACGGCCCAGGCUCCUGCGGGAGGCAGCAGUGGGGAAUUUUGGGCAGUGGUGGCAACCCUGAUCCAGCCAUGCCGCGUGCGGGAAGAAGGCCUUCGGGUUGUAAACCGCUUUUGUUCGGGAAGAAAUGCUCUGGGCUAAUACCCCGGGGGGAUGACGGUACCGGAAGAAUAAGCACCGGCUAACUACGUG
RNAcentral lists this ribosomal RNA (484 nucleotides) under uncultured bacterium. RNAcentral describes it as "partial 16S ribosomal RNA". It matches the Rfam family "Bacterial small subunit ribosomal RNA", at positions 28 to 507 of the family's 1533-position model. The record is from RNAcentral.